RNAcentral lists this long non-coding RNA (623 nucleotides) under Mytilus galloprovincialis (Mediterranean mussel). The record is from RNAcentral. Lineage: Eukaryota; Metazoa; Mollusca; Bivalvia; Mytilida; Mytilidae.
GGGUUGGUACUUUAUAUGCACUUAUGAAAAUAUAAUUAUCAUGUAAAACAUGAACUUAAUAAUAAAAAAAAAGUUGUUGUUUAAUGAGCCUUUUUGGGUGUAUUGGGACAUUUGUUGUUUGUCAACAUAAAAAGACAGCCAUGGGUAAAAUCAAAGGGCUUGCAUAAAUAAAAUGCGUAUGUUAAUGUUAGUCGACUUUAAUUCAAUAAACGGUCAUAAAUCUGACAAGUUCGUGCUUGUGUUUCAAUAUCUAUAAUUCAGUCAUGUUUUCUGUAUCAAUGGUUUCCACGAAUCUUGUGCUUUGGGUAUCAUUUACAGUUUGAAUUUCCUGAGACAAAGUCAUUGCAUAAAUAAAAAAGUCCGCGGUUUUCUGAUCACAGAAAUUUGUGACAAACCGCGAUUUGCAGUCUUGGAAACAGCGUUUUUCUCGUACCACCAAUAUUUCAUAUCAUUCUCGUUAUCAAUCUUUACUCUCGGAAGAUGAUGUUGUCAUCAUAGAGCAACGGAAAGGUCGACUUAAUCAUUUUAGUUAGAUUUACUCGAGGUACAAAACCGAAAUUUGAAACAGGAAGCAUUGAAUGAAACGAAAUUUUAACGGUUAUCGGUAACGGGAAUGAACAAAA